Molecule: ribosomal RNA, 254 nt
Filed under: uncultured bacterium
Lineage: Bacteria
Description: partial 16S ribosomal RNA
Rfam family: Bacterial small subunit ribosomal RNA
Source: RNAcentral
UACGUAGGGUGCGAGCGUUGUCCGGAAUUAUUGGGCGUAAAGAGCUCGUAGGCGGUGUGUUACGUCGGCCGUGAAAACCUGCAGCUUAACUGUGGGCGUGCGGUCGAUACGGGCAUCACUGGAGUUCGGCAGGGGAGACUGGAAUUCCUGGUGUAGCGGUGAAAUGCGCAGAUAUCAGGAGGAACACCGGUGGCGAAGGCGGAUCUCUGGGCCUUACCUGACGCUCAGGCACGAAAGCUAGGGGAGCGAACAGG